RNAcentral lists this ribosomal RNA (406 nucleotides) under uncultured bacterium. RNAcentral's name for it is "partial 16S ribosomal RNA". It matches the Rfam family "Bacterial small subunit ribosomal RNA", at positions 30 to 526 of the family's 1533-position model. The record is from RNAcentral.
AUUGAACGCUGGCGGCAGGCCUAACACAUGCAAGUCGAACGAGUGGCGGACGGGUGAGUAAUGUCUGGGAAACUGCCUGAUGGAGGGGGCUAACUACUGGAAACGGUAGCUAAUACCGCAUACCAUCAGAUGUGCCCAGAUGGGAUUAGCUAGUUGGUGGGGUAACGGAUCACCAAGGCGACGAUCCCUAGCUGGUCUGAGAGGAUGACAGGCCACACUGAAAAUAAGCAACGAGCCAGACUCCAACGGGAGGCAGCAGUGGGGAAAAUUGCACAAUGGGAGCAAGCCUGAUGCAGCCAUGCCGCGUGUAUGAAGAAGGCCUUCGGGUUGUAAAGUACUUUCAGCGGGGAGGCGUUACCCGCAGAAGAAGCACCGGCUAACUCCGUGCCAGCAGCCGCGGUAAUAC